GUACCACUGAGGAGUCCCUUAAUAGGACGAAACGACCGUCCAGUGC
Molecule: non-coding RNA, 46 nt
Filed under: Schistosoma mansoni
Lineage: Eukaryota; Metazoa; Platyhelminthes; Trematoda; Strigeidida; Schistosomatidae
Source: RNAcentral